Molecule: ribosomal RNA, 169 nt
Filed under: Marukawichthys ambulator
Lineage: Eukaryota; Metazoa; Chordata; Actinopteri; Perciformes; Ereuniidae
Description: partial 12S rRNA
Source: RNAcentral
CACCGCGGUUAUACGAGAGGCCCGAGUUGAUAGACGCCGGCGUAAAGAGUGGUUAAGUUAGAGCCCAAACUAAAGCCAAACAUCUUCAAGACUGUUAUACGUACCCGAAGACAGGAAGUUCAACCACGAAAGUGACUUUAUUUAAUCUGAACCCACGAAAGCUAAGGAA